GUUUGAUACCGGAGAGGGAGCCUGAGAAAUAGCUCCCACGUCUAAGGAUGGCAGCAGGCGCGAAAAUUACCCAAUGCAAGUAGUGAGGUAGUUAAGAGGCGUGCAAUUUGCACAAGUUAACAGUAAAGAAGUUAAUGGAAACUGGAGGGCAAGUCUGGUGCCAGCAGCCGCGGUAAUUCCAGCUCCAGAAGCGCAUAUGACCGUUGCUGCAGUUAAAAAGUUCGUAGUUUGAGCACAUGCUUGCGAGUAAAAUACAUUACUUAAAGAUGUAAUUAGCGCAACUAAUGUCUAGAUAGGAACAGGAGAAGGUGGUUGUAUUGGGUAGCGAAAGGUGAAAAUUGCAGACCUACUCAGGACAAACAGAAGCGAAAGCGGCCAUCUAGAAUGUAUCCGUUAAUCAAGAACGUAAGCUGGAGUAUCGAAAAAGAUUAGACACCUUUGUAGUUCCAGCUGUAAACUAUGCCGACUAGGUGAGAGAAAUAUUCUUGUGCCUUAGGAGAAAUCAAGAGUUUGUGGGCUCUGGGGAUAGUACGAUCGCAAGAUUGAAACUUAAAGAAAUU
RNAcentral lists this ribosomal RNA (560 nucleotides) under Microsporidium sp. H7. RNAcentral's name for it is "SSU rRNA". It matches the Rfam family "Microsporidia small subunit ribosomal RNA", at positions 234 to 788 of the family's 1311-position model. The record is from RNAcentral. Lineage: Eukaryota; Fungi; Microsporidia.